This 451-nucleotide ribosomal RNA is filed under the name uncultured bacterium. RNAcentral's name for it is "partial 16S ribosomal RNA". It matches the Rfam family "Bacterial small subunit ribosomal RNA", at positions 354 to 796 of the family's 1533-position model. The record is from RNAcentral.
GUGGGGAAUCUUAGACAAUGGGGGAAACCCUGAUCUAGCCAUGCCGCGUGAGCGAUGAAGGCCUUAGGGUUGUAAAGCUCUGUUUUAAGGGACGAAUGUUACGGGGAGUAAUAUGCUCUGUAAAUGACGGUACCUUAAGAGGAAGCCCCGGCUAACUUCGUGCCAGCAGCCGCGGUAAUACGAAGGGGGCUAGCGUUGUUCGGAAUUACUGGGCGUAAAGCGCACGUAGGCGGAUCAGUCAGUUAGGGGUGAAAUCCCAGGGCUCAACCCUGGAACUGCCUUUAAUACUGCUGAUCUAGAGUUCGAGAGAGGUGAGUGGAAUUCCGAGUGUAGAGGUGAAAUUCGUAGAUAUUCGGAGGAACACCAGUGGCGAAGGCGGCUCACUGGCUCGAUACUGACGCUGAGGUGCGAAAGCGUGGGGAGCAAACAGGAUUAGAAACCCCGGUAGUCC